ACGCCUUUUUGGCCCGGCCCAAGCACGGCACGGCCCGACUUGGGUCGGGCCCGUGCCGGCCCGGCCCGACCGUCGGGCCGUGCCUGGGCCUCCUCACCAGCACGCUGGGCUGGCCCGGCACGGUCGGGCUGGCCUGGCACGAUGGGCUGGCAGGCCAGACCCGAUACACAAAGUAUAGGGACUAAAAAUAGACAUAUAAAUGUCAAUGUCUAAAGAAUAGGGACCUUAAAUAGACUUAUUUUAGCUAUUUAUAUACCACAUCACAAAGAAGAGGGAGGUAAAAUAGACUUUUUUUAGCUAUACAAUGUCAUAGCCCAAUAGGAGGGAGAAAAUUUAGACUUAUUCUGAGGAAAAGCACGAUGGCCCAUCGUGCCUUCGGGCCGGCCCGGCACGGCCCGAGGCGUGUUGGGCCGUGCCUGGGCUGUGAGUGCGGCACGUGGGCUGGCACGGCACGGCCCGGUGCGUCGGUCGGGCCGUGCCGGCCCGACAAGCCUCGGCCCAGGCACGGCCGGGCCUGGGCCGUGCCGUGCCGGGCGGCCCACAUGGCCAUCUAUAGCUGGAAUUCAGAUAGAAGAGAUCAAUAGAUUAGCAAACAAUUGCAAGAUGUGUUUUCACCCUGGAGGAGAAAACAUAAAACAUACUUUUUUUAAAAACAUUACUGCAUAAUUUCACAUGAGAAUGCUUGGAAGCCAUGCCCUCUUAUGCACCAAUGCCUGAACAUUAGAAGCAUUGAUGUCCUGCGGAUGAGAAAAGGUUCAAUGCUUGAAACCUCAAGUAUGCUAAAUCAGGAAAGUACUGGCCACAGUGUCAAGAAAAUCUCAAUCUACCGCCACUGCACCAUGCCUGGCCAUUAGCCUGAAGGUCGGUGUAUUUGGAGUGCGAGUAUUGCAAGGCCACAGAGCUCCAGUAGUCAUUGAUUUGGCCAAGUCAAUAUUGAUAUUCCCAGGAGCCGAUCAUGUUGAUGCGCUGCUAAAGAAGACAGAUAGGGCAUCUGAGCAUCUCUACAUCUGCACAGGUAGAGGGACGAUAAAAGAAAUCCAACAAUCUGCAAAGUUUGCAACUGCAAAUGAUCAAACUGGCUAGGUAUGCUGAUCUUAGCCUAAUGUGGUGGGAUUUUUUUUAUUUUUUAAUUUUAUUAAUAGACCAUUCCAAAAAUAUUGCGUUGUUUAGCCACGCCAACCAUGGUGGCGUGGCCAAAAGGUUCAGAUUUGGAAAUACUUUUUGGAAUGGUCUAUUCAUAAAAUUUAAAAAUAAAAGUCUAAAAAAUAAUUAAAAAAAUCAUGUGCUAGUGAGUUGUUAGUUUCCAAUAAUAGGGUAUAGAUGGCAAACCCAAUUCCUCAAACAAAGCAAAAAGAAAAAGAAAAGAUGUCCAUCAUUAUAUUAUGGAGGUUGCAUAUUGGCAUAUGUAUCUUGCUUUUUGCUAGUAGAGACUGUUGGUUUUAAUGACUGAGUUUUUUUUUUUGGUGUGUGUGUUGGGGGGGGGGGGGGGUGAUCAAUAACUGCUUUUUCCUGUGAUUUUGUGGUGUACUGAAGUCGUCUCUUUUCUUGGUAUGGUUUUCUUUGUAUAAGGAGCUGAGUGUUGGUUUUUGUUAAGCAUAUCAUUGGUUUUGAUUAAAAGAAACAUGUGAUUGGUUGCAAACGGCCGAUGGGAACACAAAUGCUGCCAUGGACAUCUGCAUGUUCAUUCUUAUGUUUUGCAGGUUAUUUGGUUGCUGGGUAGCAAAUGGGUAACUGGUCACUGCUGGCACGAAGCAUUGUGCUGCCAAUAUUAAGGAAAUAACGAGUGCACCUGCUGUUAAUUUUUCGUUCAUAGAUUUUGGUGUCAAAGUUAGGCUUAUAAUUCCUCCGUUUCACAAUGUAAGACUUUCUAGCAUUGUCUAUAUUCAUAUAGAUGUUAAUUAAUCUAGACAUAUAUAUGUGUCUAGAUUCAUUAACUUCUAAAUUAAUAUGAGUAACGCUAAAAAGUUUUACAAUCUGAAACGGAGGGAGUAUAAUAUAAUUGUGUGCUCCAGUUGUUCUGCUUGGUAGUUUCUUUCUGGAGUUUGCGAGAUAGCUCAUAUUCUGUAGUUUACGAAAACCACGCUUCUCUUUGAUUUCUGACUUAAGAAAUAUUGGGGGCAGUCUUAGAAUGUACUUAUCAAUCAGCAAUUUCCCUUCAAGCAUGAGAGUUUCAGUAUCAUAAUAUGAUAAUAUGGCAUUCAUGCGUCAUGCGUGGUGGCCCUUAUAUUUUUAAUUUUGCUUCUUUUUUUUCCCACGCAGAAUUGGCCUGAAGGCCUGAACAUAACGUGCUACCUGUGGUUGACUGCUUGUACAGGGCUACUGUUGAACAACAUGGUUGGUCUGCAGGUUGAACUUUACAUGUUGCAGAGCGGAGUUCUGUACAACCAAGCAAGAUGCAUGGGUCGUGGAUGCAUCAUUGCAUUCAUUGACACGGGAACUAAAAUCAACUUCCUGUUGGUGUUAUUGCUCACCGUUCAACAGUGUAAAGGUGGACAAACCGUUCUCAUCGUCAACAGACAACAGGGUUACAAGACUUUUUAGCAUUGCCUACAUUCAUAUAGAUGUUAAUGAAUCCAGACAUGUGUAGAUUCAUUAAUAUAUAUAUAAAUAUGGAUAAUACUAGAAAGUCUUAUAAUAUGAAACGGGAAGUAUUUAACAGAAGGAACAUAUCGUGCAUAAGAACACAUUCAGCCCUGUCAUUAUACUUCGACGGCGUUAUACACCAUUUUGCCCCAAAACAAAGGUGAUGAAGAAAAUGGCCCACAGUUUAGUCCACUUGCCUUUUCGCCAAUGCUCCAAAAUCUCCAAUGUGGCAACAGUGAAGGCUAUGAGGCAUACUGGACAUCAGUUAGGUUACCUGAUGAUUGUCCACCGUAACAUGAACAUACCGAGUCAGCAGUUUGCCCUGACAUGAACGUGCCGCAUAAUCCGACCAUCAGCGGCCCCGGCGAUUGGCAGGUCAAAGGAGCUUUGACGCGUAGCCUGCAGCGGUCAAUACUAUGCGACUGUGCGAUAACAAGAUCUGCAUGCUAGGACUAGGUAUCUGGUAGGGGCAAGCAACAGCAACCGCCAUAUGUAGUGUAAUCUUAAGGUGGGCUCUAUGAAUUGUGAAUCAUUGUUAGGGUAUCACCAAUGUAUAUUGCAAAGUGAUCCAUAUAGAUGUGACCCACGUAAAUAGUUUUUACCUAUAACAAUCUCCACAAUGUAUAUGUAUACAAGGUAUCAUUAGGAGAAGAGAGAGGAGUAGAGAUAGAUAAUAUAAUUUAUUCCAUAUGGGUAGUCCAUAUGCAUAUGGAUACCUUUUGUUAUUUUUUCUAUAUGGACUAGUUGCACAAUGGUAAUAGAUGGCUGAAUGGAAUAUUCUAUUGCU
Oryza sativa Japonica Group (Japanese rice) is the source of this 3370-nucleotide non-coding RNA. The record is from RefSeq and is a predicted model, not a curated record. Lineage: Eukaryota; Viridiplantae; Streptophyta; Magnoliopsida; Poales; Poaceae.